AAAUUGAAGAGUUUGAUCAUGGCUCAGAUUGAACGCUGGCGGCAGGCCUAACACAUGCAAGUCGAGCGGCAGCGGGAAAGUAGCUUGCUACUUUUGCCGGCGAGCGGCGGACGGGUGAGUAAUGCCUGGGGAUCUGCCCAGUCGAGGGGGAUAACUACUGGAAACGGUAGCUAAUACCGCAUA
This 183-nucleotide ribosomal RNA is filed under the name Aeromonas veronii. RNAcentral's name for it is "partial 16S ribosomal RNA". It matches the Rfam family "Bacterial small subunit ribosomal RNA", at positions 1 to 175 of the family's 1533-position model. Lineage: Bacteria; Pseudomonadati; Pseudomonadota; Gammaproteobacteria; Aeromonadales; Aeromonadaceae. The record is from RNAcentral.